GAUUGGACCAGUGCACAGGUGCUGCAUGGCUGUCGUCAGCUCGUGUCGUGAGAUGUUCGGUUAAGUCCGGCAACGAGCGCAACCCACAUCUUUAGUUGCCAGCAGGUUAAGCUGGGCACUCUAGAGAAACUGCCCGUGAUAAGCGGGAGGAAGGUGUGGAUGACGUCAAGUCCUCAUGGCCCUUACGGGUUGGGCUACACACGUGCUACAAUGGCAGUGACAAUGGGUUAAUCCCAAAAAGCUGUCUCAGUUCGGAUUGGGGUCUGCAACUCGACCCCAUGAGGUCGGAAUCGCUAGUAAUCGCGUAACAGCAUGACGCGGUGAAUACGUUCCCGGGCCUUGUACACACCGCCCGUCACACCAUGGGAGUUGGUUCUACCCGACGACGCUGCGCUAACCCUUCGGGGAGGCAGGCGGCCACGGUAGGAUCAGCGACUGGGGUGAAGUCGUAACAAGGUAGCCGUAAUCACUAGU
Molecule: ribosomal RNA, 474 nt
Filed under: uncultured Roseobacter sp.
Lineage: Bacteria; Pseudomonadati; Pseudomonadota; Alphaproteobacteria; Rhodobacterales; Roseobacteraceae
Description: bacterial SSU rRNA
Rfam family: Bacterial small subunit ribosomal RNA
Source: RNAcentral